GAUGAACGCUAGCUAUAGGCUUAACACAUGCAAGUCGAGGGGCAGCAUGAACUUAGCUUGCUAAGUUUGAUGGCGACCGGCGCACGGGUGAGUAACGCGUAUGCAACUUACCUAUCAGAGGAGAAUAGCUCAUCGAAAGAUGAAUUAAUGCUCCAUAAAACAGGGGUCCCCGCAUGGGGAAUAUUUGUUAAAGAUUCAUCGCUGAUAGAUAGGCAUGCGUUCCAUUAGGCAGUUGGCGGGGUAACGGCCCACCAAACCGACGAUGGAUAGGGGUUCUGAGAGGAAGGUCCCCCACAUUGGGACUGAGACACGGCCCAG
RNAcentral lists this ribosomal RNA (318 nucleotides) under uncultured bacterium. Its description in RNAcentral is "bacterial SSU rRNA". It matches the Rfam family "Bacterial small subunit ribosomal RNA", at positions 28 to 334 of the family's 1533-position model. The record is from RNAcentral.